This 700-nucleotide ribosomal RNA is filed under the name uncultured bacterium. RNAcentral describes it as "bacterial SSU rRNA". It matches the Rfam family "Bacterial small subunit ribosomal RNA", at positions 59 to 748 of the family's 1533-position model. The record is from RNAcentral.
CAGUCGAACGGUAACAUAAAGAAGCUUGCUUCUUUGAUGACGAGUGGCGGACGGGUGAGUAAUGCUUGGGAAUCUAGCUUAUGGAGGGGGAUAACUACGGGAAACUGUAGCUAAUACCGCGUAGAAUCGGGAGAUGAAAGUGUGGGACCUUCGGGCCACAUGCCAUAGGAUGAGCCCAAGUGGGAUUAGGUAGUUGGUGAGGUAAAGGCUCACCAAGGCCACGAUGCAUAGCCGACCUGAGAGGGUGAUCGGCCACACUGGGACUGAGACACGGCCCAGACUCCUACGGGAGGCAGCAGUAGGGAAUCUUCGGCAAUGGACGAAAGUCUGACCGAGCAACGCCACGUGAGUGAAGAAGGUUUUCGGAUCGUAAAACUCUGUUGUUAGAGAAGAACAAGGACGUUAGUAACUGAACGUCCCCUGACGGUAUCUAACCAGAAAGCCACGGCUAACUACGUGCCGGCAGCCGCGGUAAUACGUAGGUGGCAAGCGUUGUCCGGAUUUAUUGGGCGUAAAGCGAGCGCAGGCGGUUUCUUAAGUCUGAUGUGAAAGCCCCCGGCUCAACCGGGGAGGGUCAUUGGAAACUGGGAGACUUGAGUGCAGAAGAGGAGAGUGGAAUUCCAUGUGUAGCGGUGAAAUGCGUAGAUAUAUGGAGGAACACCAGUGGCGAAGGCGGCUCUCUGGUCUGUAACUGACGCUG